Molecule: ribosomal RNA, 464 nt
Filed under: uncultured bacterium
Lineage: Bacteria
Description: partial 16S ribosomal RNA
Rfam family: Bacterial small subunit ribosomal RNA
Source: RNAcentral
GACGAACGCUGGCGGCGUGCUUAACACAUGCAAGUCGAACGCUGAACCCGCUUCGGUGGGGGAUGAGUGGCGAACGGGUGAGUAACACGUGGGCAACCUGCCCCCGGCUCUGGGAUAACUCCAAGAAAUUGGGGCUAAUACCGGAUGUGACCGCUGGCCGCAUGGUCUGGUGGUGGAAAGGGUUUCCGGCUGGGGAUGGGCCCGCGGCCUAUCAGCUUGUUGGUGGGGUAGUGGCCUACCAAGGCGACGACGGGUAGCCGGCCUGAGAGGGUGACCGGCCACACUGGGACUGAGACACGGCCCAGACUCCUACGGGAGGCAGCAGUGGGGAAUAUUGCGCAAUGGGCGGAAGCCUGACGCAGCGACGCCGCGUGGGGGAUGGCGGCCUUCGGGUUGUAAACCUCUUUCAGCAGGGACGAAGCGCAAGUGACGGUACCUGCAGAAGAAGCACCGGCCAACUACGU